RNAcentral lists this ribosomal RNA (221 nucleotides) under uncultured bacterium. RNAcentral's name for it is "partial 16S ribosomal RNA". It matches the Rfam family "Bacterial small subunit ribosomal RNA", at positions 328 to 539 of the family's 1533-position model. The record is from RNAcentral.
ACGCUCGACACCUACUGGAGGCAGCAGUGAGGAAUAUUGGUCAAUGGGCGCUAGCCUGAACCAGCCAAGUAGCGUGAAGGAUGAAGGCUCUAUGGGUCGUAAACUUCUUUUAUAUAAGAAUAAAGUGCAGUAUGUAUACUGUUUUGUAUGUAUUAUAUGAAUAAGGAUCGGCUAACUCCGUGUCCAGCAGCCGCGGUAAUCUGAGGCGGGCUGGCGAAGGC